This 608-nucleotide ribosomal RNA is filed under the name Xiphinema basiri. RNAcentral's name for it is "partial large subunit ribosomal RNA". It matches the Rfam family "Eukaryotic large subunit ribosomal RNA", at positions 405 to 789 of the family's 3401-position model. The record is from RNAcentral. Lineage: Eukaryota; Metazoa; Nematoda; Enoplea; Dorylaimida; Longidoridae.
CCGCUUAGAAUAAAACGGACGGAGCCGUCUGAGGCUCGUCGGAAUCAGUCGAAUCGACGCGUGAAAGCGAGUCCGACGCGAAUACGGAACGAAAGUCCGGUCGGCUCGUAGAAUAGAGUAGCGCUCGUUUGACGCAUUUCCGAUGGGUAAGCGCCGUGACCGAUGCGAGGCUAGCGAAGCCGUCGGAUUGAGGUCGAGCUCGUUCGCGAGUCUCGUAACCAGUCCGUCGGUCGAAAUAGAAAUCGUUAGACCGCUUAGCAUCGAGCGAAAAUUUCGAACGUCGGCGAUUUAUUAGUGCUCGUCGAAUACGACGGACGUGCGUUCGAUCGGUCGUAACCUGCUCGCAGGUUUCGGUUAGUAUCCUGAGCGUAUCCGAAGUCGUCGACGACGCUUUCGACGUUCGGGCGUCUACGGCGUCCGAGUCGGUCACCCGUCCGACCCGUCUUGAAACACGGACCAAGGAGUCUAACGUACGCGCGAGCUAAUGGGCGGAAAACCCAUAAGCGCAAUAAAAGUAAAGGUCGUCUCGGACGGCUUAGGUACGAUCCCGAAGGACGAAUAAUCCUCGGGCGCAGUACCGUCCCGUCCCGACCGCUCGUCGGUAGGGC